GACGAACGCUGGCGGCGCGCUUAACACAUGCAAGUCGAACGGAAAGGCCUGCUUUCCCUUGUGGAUUGCGGGUACUCGAGUGGCGAACGGGUGAGUAACACGUGAGUGAUCUGCCCCCAACUUGGGUAUAAGCCUGGGAAACUGGGUCUAAUUCCCGAUAGGACUGCAGGGUGGUGCCUGUGGUGGAAAACGAUUUUCUAGUGGUUGGGGAUGAGCUCGCGGCCUAUCAGCUUGUUGGUGGGGUAAUGGCCUACCAAGGCGGCGACGGGUAGCCGGCCUGAGAGGGUGGACGGCCACAUUGGGACUGAGAUACGGCCCAGACUCCUACGGGAGGCAGCAGUGGGGAAUAUUGCACGAUGGGCGGAAGCCUGAUGCAGCGACGCCGCGUGGGGGAUGACGGCCUCCGGGUUGUAAACUCCUUUCGACCGCGAGGAAGCCACCUGGUUGGAAGGGUGGUGACGGUAGUGGUAGAAGAAGCACCGGCUAACUACGUG
RNAcentral lists this ribosomal RNA (494 nucleotides) under uncultured bacterium. RNAcentral describes it as "partial 16S ribosomal RNA". It matches the Rfam family "Bacterial small subunit ribosomal RNA", at positions 28 to 507 of the family's 1533-position model. The record is from RNAcentral.